RNAcentral lists this ribosomal RNA (510 nucleotides) under uncultured bacterium. RNAcentral's name for it is "partial 16S ribosomal RNA". It matches the Rfam family "Bacterial small subunit ribosomal RNA", at positions 355 to 885 of the family's 1533-position model. The record is from RNAcentral.
UGGGGAAUAUUGGACAAUGGGCGCAAGCCUGAUCCAGCAAUGCCGCGUGAGUGAUGAAGGCCUUAGGGUUGUAAAGCUCUUUCGCACGCGACGAUGAUGACGGUAGCGUGAGAAGAAGCCCCGGCUAACUUCGUGCCAGCAGCCGCGGUAAUACGAAGGGGGCUAGCGUUGUUCGGAAUUACUGGGCGUAAAGGGCGCGUAGGCGGCCUGUUUAGUCAGAAGUGAAAGCCCCGGGCUCAACCUGGGAAUAGCUUUUGAUACUGGCAGGCUUGAGUUCCGGAGAGGAUGGUGGAAUUCCCAGUGUAGAGGUGAAAUUCGUAGAUAUUGGGAAGAACACCGGUGGCGAAGGCGGCCAUCUGGACGGACACUGACGCUGAGGCGCGAAACGUGGGGAGCAAACAGAUUAGAUACCCUGGUAGUCCACGCCGUAAACGAUGAAUGCUAGACGUCGGGGUGCAUNCACUUCGGUGUCGCCGCUAACGCAUUAAGCAUUCCGCCUGGGGAGUACGG